Molecule: ribosomal RNA, 468 nt
Filed under: uncultured bacterium
Lineage: Bacteria
Description: partial 16S ribosomal RNA
Rfam family: Bacterial small subunit ribosomal RNA
Source: RNAcentral
GACGAACGCUGGCGGCGUGCUUAACACAUGCAAGUCGAACGGAAAGACCCUGCUUUUGUGGGGUGCUCGAGUGGCGAACGGGUGAGUAACACGUGAGUAACCUGCCCUUGACUUUGGGAUAACUUCAGGAAACUGGGGCUAAUACCGGAUAGGAGCUCCUGCUGCAUGGUGGGGGUUGGAAAGUUUCGGCGGUUGGGGAUGGACUCGCGGCUUAUCAGCUUGUUGGUGGGGUAGUGGCUUACCAAGGCUUUGACGGGUAGCCGGCCUGAGAGGGUGACCGGACACAUUGGGACUGAGAUACGGCCCAGACUCCUACGGGAGGCAGCAGUGGGGAAUAUUGCACAAUGGGCGGAAGCCUGAUGCAGCAACGCCGCGUGCGGGAUGACGGCCUUCGGGUUGUAAACCGCUUUCGCCUGUGACGAAGCGUGAGUGACGGUAAUGGGUAAAGAAGCACCGGCUAACUACGUG